AACCAUGAGGGAGGAGGGCGGGGGACUGCGAGCAUCUCGUUUCUCCCAAUAGAGGAGAGAAGAUGGACACCUCCACGGGAAUAUGGGUGCAGGGACAGCGGGGUAGCCCGACACACACAUGCUGCUGAAUGGAUGCCACCGCCGCAACGUCACGACGAGCGCAGGAGCCAAAACGAGCUCGUCUCACCAGGUCUGCUGCCCAUGAUCAAGGAAUCAGCUCUCAGUGAUUCACAGGAUCUCAUGACAUAGGUCUGAAUCUGAGCCUGCCGUUUCUCCCUGGUGCUGGAAAAGCUGGGUGGCCGGAGGGGUUGGCUGUUAUCUUUGGUUAUCUAGCUGUAUGAGUGAUAUACACUCUUCAUAAAGCUAGAUAACCGAAAGUAACAAGAAUCCCAUUACACACCUGGAAGGCCUUGCCCGCUCAACACUUCACCUUCUGCCCCUUACUGUCACAUCUUCUUUAGAGCCAAGACGUGAAAGAUAAAUGAUGCCCAGUCUCCACUGCCAGCAAAAAGGAAGCAAAAUAUGGACGAUUUUAAGGAGGAGGGGCAGGUUAGCGUCGAGACUCUCUGUGCCCUACAGUGCGUUGCUGCUCUCAGCCCCUCCUCUUGCUGCCUGCCUGCCCCUUCCUCCAGUGACGAGCGCCAGUCCACACUUUACCACCAUCUUAGAGCACACUGGCAUGAAAUGGAAGAAGAGGGAAAACGAGUGUUGAAAGAAAAAGAGGAUUCAUCGCAACGACAUCUGAAAAUGGAGGCAGAGCAGUGAAGACCUUUGCUCUGAAACAGAUGACUGCACGGUUUAUUGUGCGCCCCAACACUGCAACUCUGUAGCACUUUAAAAAUCCUCGCUUUUUUUCCUUGUUUGUUUUCCUAUUAAUUUGUUGUUUAGUUUUUUGUUUACUUUCCCCAUCAUUUUAGUAGUUUUAAUGACCUAUUGUAAUCACCAGUCUAUUUUAUUUCAAUCUAUAGGGGGCAAGAGUUUGGUAGUGCAGACAGGUGAAGCAGUGCAAAAAGAUUAUUUAAUGGUGCUAAAAAGUCUUAAAAUCACUAAUAUUAUCCUGGCUGUGACCCAGUAAUAACCCACUGGAAAUCUGCGGUGGAUAAAAAACUACAUAUAUUUUGUAUAUUUGCACGAUGUCCAUAAAUGUAUGUCUAUGCAAAAUUCUAUUCAAGUCCUGUUUAAAAGCAUGGCAUGUAAUUGUGUUAGAAUACCAUACAAAUACAAGCCACUUAAUUUCUCUAUUUUUUAAAAGAAAUAUUUACUAUAAAACUCAAGACAAUCAUCUGGUCUAAUCUGCCUAUAUCUAUAUAAAUUUUCACAGCACACGUUUAGCAUAGAGCACUUUACACAUUUAAAUAACUCCCAUCUCCUCCAAUUUCUCCUCUAAUAUUUGACCAUAGCAACAAAGCUCAUGCACAUCUGCUCUAAUCGAAAUGACAUUUUAAGCUAACUGUUACGCUCAAAAGUGGCUUGCUAAAUCUAAAUUCUGCUGUUAUAAUCAUGAACAGGGUUAUUGAAUGUGGGACCCACGGCAGCGGUGAAGGAUACUGCACUGCGAUUGAACGGCUCUGUGUUGACAUUUACACGUCCGCUGUAGGGAGAGCUGUUGUCUUUAUUCACUAUGCAAUUGCGUUGGAUUUGCAAUCACAGAUGAUCUGUUCUGAUCAGCUAGAAUCUUCUGUAUUCAAAUUUUAGAGAAAAUAGGGGCCUAGAAAUACGUUCUGCACAUUCUACACAUUGUCUUUAGUGGCUUAGAAUUCAGUUUGCAUUGUCUAGACCCUACUGUUUGUUUUGUUAAAUUUCAUUUAGUCUAUUCAGGCAAGUUUAUUUUGUAUUUGUUUAUUGUAAUGUUGCAUUUGUUUAUUUUUAAAAAGGAAAUUUUCCCCUUAUCCUCCCAAUCUAGUCAUUCCCAAUUUUCUACUGCAUAUUGUGAUCAUCUUGCACCAGGAUGGCCACAACUUCCACAAUUGUAGCCAGCCACUUCUUAUUUAUAGGCCAGGGAUGUGACCUCACACGGUGUGCACAUAGUCAUCUAUCCUAGCCUCUAAGUGAUUCUCCCUGCCGCUUAGCCGGUUGCUGGUUGCCUCAGCCAGUCAUGAAGAUAGCAUAUCACAGCAGACACAGAGAAGAAACCUUGUCCCCGUCCGACUAGGCCAGGGCUAGGUCGGUGGCAUUGCGGAGAUUUAAACCUUAGUGCACUGCAGCACCCUAGGACCCAGUGCUAUGAGAAUUUAAGGCACUUAGUUGUAAGAAUAUUAACGUCUAUAGUUCAUUGUGUUAAAGCUUGUAUUAUUAAUAAGCAUGUCUGAAUACUAUACUGUUAUGUAUUUUUGUUGAACAGUUUAUGUUCAUGACUUAAGUAUUGUUUAGAACAGGGAUCUUGAUGUCAGUCCUGCAGGCUCAUCCAGUUCAUGGAAAGCUUGAUGAUAAGUUCACAAUAAAGAUGAGGUGUAUUGGAAAAAGUAAACAUCAAUAAAAUGCAGAACAGUAAAAGCAUCCAGGACUGAAGUUAUGGGAACUCGGUUCACUUUAUUAUAUGUAUAUAUUUAGAUUUGCGCCGAGGCAAUUGUACUUCUGUGAUAUCUAUGCAAAUGCAUUAUAGUCUAUAUUUGUAGUGAAAAUGGUGCAAUGUUUUUAAGACACACUUGUGUUAUUAUGGGCUCUGGUGUCAUUAAAUCUUUUGAAGGCAAUCAUCAUUGUUGUUAUAGAAAUAUAUAGUAGCUUGUGUAAAAAUAUUUACUAUGCAAUUUAAAUGUUAAGCUCUUUUGUGUAUAGCUUGUGUUUCUAUUCAUUUAGACUAAUUUGAUUAACUUCGUCUUACUUGUCACUAUUUGUGCCCCAAACGUUUGGUUCAUUUAUGGAUACUAAUAAAGA
This is a long non-coding RNA of Trichomycterus rosablanca, 2874 nucleotides long. RefSeq lists it as uncharacterized. Lineage: Eukaryota; Metazoa; Chordata; Actinopteri; Siluriformes; Trichomycteridae. The transcript is spliced from 5 exons. The record is from RefSeq and is a predicted model, not a curated record.